This 405-nucleotide ribosomal RNA is filed under the name uncultured bacterium. RNAcentral describes it as "partial 16S ribosomal RNA". It matches the Rfam family "Bacterial small subunit ribosomal RNA", at positions 30 to 526 of the family's 1533-position model. The record is from RNAcentral.
AUUGAACGCUGGCGGCAGGCUUAACACAUGCAAGUCGAACGAGUGGCGGACGGGUGAGUAAUGCUUGGGAAUCUAGCUUAUGGAGGGGGAUAACUACGGGAAACUGUAGCUAAUACCGCGUACCAUAGGAUGAGCCCAAGUGGGAUUAGGUAGUUGGUGAGGUAAAGGCUCACCAAGCCGACGAUCUCUAGCUGGUCUGAGAGGAUGACCAGCCAAACUGGGACUGAGACACGGCCCAGACUCCGACUACGAUCACCAGUAUACAAUAUUGCGCAAUGGGGGCAACCUGACUCAGCCAUGCCGCGUGAAUGAAGAAGGCCUUCGGGUUGUAAAGUUCUUUCGGUAGCGAGGCGUUAACUACAGAAGAAGCACCGGCUAACUCCGUGCCAGCAGCCGCGGUAAUUC